GACUCAGUUACUGAGCCAUUCCCUGGGAAUAACAUCUUGACUAAACAUAAUCUUUAUCUUCAAGGACCUCUCAUUAUUCAGUGGAGUAAAGACACGGGGAAAUGGGGAAUUUUCAUGCAGUCGUUAGAGUUUCUUCUAGAUAAAAUUGGCACUGAGUUUAUACUCAAAUGAGAAGGCUGAAAGGAGUGAGGAAGUGUCAUAGCAACCUAGCAAAUGCUGAUUCUAGAAAAAGCCAACUUAAAAAAAGCACAAAAGCUUUGCAUUAUUUUUACUUGCCCUUGCCUCCCACCUACCCCGACUCAAUGACAGUUUUGAAGCCAGCAGACUGCAUUCUCAAUAAAAGACCCUGGUUCCUGGUUCCGGAAAGGGCAGAGUAGUAGAACUUAUUCUUAAACAUAAAUAUUAUUACUUUGUUUGGUAGUUUUGUCCUGUCGUGUAGCUUCCUGG
Long non-coding RNA from Homo sapiens (human), 447 nucleotides. RefSeq lists it as uncharacterized. The transcript is spliced from 3 exons. NCBI's taxonomy places the organism in Eukaryota, Metazoa, Chordata, Mammalia, Primates, Hominidae. The record is from RefSeq and is a predicted model, not a curated record.